GGGAGAGGAUGUAGUAGUUUCCCCUGUCUACUUUCUCUACCUUCUUUUCUCCUCUACCCUCCCUUUCCAAGCUCAACUUCCUUGACAGUAUUAAGGAAAUACCUUUUUUAGUUACCAAAAUAAGUUGCUCUGUGGAGAAUUUCUGAUGAUCUCAUGGUGAUUAUCCUGCACCCGGAAGACACUUUGCUUUGCUUUGGGACCAUGGAUAUUCCUUGGGGCAGCCACCAAGGAUGAAUAAGGUUUGAACGGGGAGGCACUGGCCUCGGGGCUCCUUGCUGCUGACAUCAGUUGUGCCCUCGUAGGAGACGUCCUGGUCCUGCCUGCCUCAGAGGCUUCCAUCUGCGGAUUUCCUGAGGUCGUCUCCUUACUGCUCUGCUGCAGUCUCUCUCAACAUUGCAACUGUCUGCUCCAGAAAGUUACUCUGUCACUAAGUAAAAUAAAUACAAACAAAAUAA
Molecule: long non-coding RNA, 455 nt
Filed under: Pan troglodytes (chimpanzee)
Lineage: Eukaryota; Metazoa; Chordata; Mammalia; Primates; Hominidae
Description: lincRNA
Source: RNAcentral